This 822-nucleotide ribosomal RNA is filed under the name Staphylococcus aureus. Its description in RNAcentral is "bacterial SSU rRNA". It matches the Rfam family "Bacterial small subunit ribosomal RNA", at positions 33 to 836 of the family's 1533-position model. The record is from RNAcentral. Lineage: Bacteria; Bacillati; Bacillota; Bacilli; Caryophanales; Staphylococcaceae.
GUGGCCAUGGCGACCGCUAUACAUGCAGUCGAGCGAACGGACGAGAAGCUUGCUUCUCUGAUGUUAGCGGCGGACGGGUGAGUAACACGUGGAUAACCUACCUAUAAGACUGGGAUAACUUCGGGAAACCGGAGCUAAUACCGGAUAAUAUUUUGAACCGCAUGGUUCAAAAGUGAAAGACGGUCUUGCUGUCACUUAUAGAUGGAUCCGCGCUGCAUUAGCUAGUUGGUAAGGUAACGGCUUACCAAGGCAACGAUGCAUAGCCGACCUGAGAGGGUGAUCGGCCACACUGGAACUGAGACACGGUCCAGACUCCUACGGGAGGCAGCAGUAGGGAAUCUUCCGCAAUGGGCGAAAGCCUGACGGAGCAACGCCGCGUGAGUGAUGAAGGUCUUCGGAUCGUAAAACUCUGUUAUUAGGGAAGAACAUAUGUGUAAGUAACUGUGCACAUCUUGACGGUACCUAAUCAGAAAGCCACGGCUAACUACGUGCCAGCAGCCGCGGUAAUACGUAGGUGGCAAGCGUUAUCCGGAAUUAUUGGGCGUAAAGCGCGCGUAGGCGGUUUUUUAAGUCUGAUGUGAAAGCCCACGGCUCAACCGUGGAGGGUCAUUGGAAACUGGAAAACUUGAGUGCAGAAGAGGAAAGUGGAAUUCCAUGUGUAGCGGUGAAAUGCGCAGAGAUAUGGAGGAACACCAGUGGCGAACGCGACUUUCUGGUCUGUAACUGACGCUGAUGUGCGAAAGCGUGGGCAUCAAACCCGUAUUAGAUACCCUGGUAGCCCACGCCGUAAACGAUGAGCGCUAAGUGUUAAGGGGCUUUCUG